Molecule: ribosomal RNA, 862 nt
Filed under: Lactobacillus sp. PLA31
Lineage: Bacteria; Bacillati; Bacillota; Bacilli; Lactobacillales; Lactobacillaceae
Description: bacterial SSU rRNA
Rfam family: Bacterial small subunit ribosomal RNA
Source: RNAcentral
CCUAAACGUGCUAGUCUACCGGGAAUCCGUUGAAUGAGGUGCGUGCACUGAUUUCACAAUGACGAGAGUGACGAACUGGUGAGUAACACGUGGGGAAUCUGCCCAGAAGCAGGGGAUAACACUUGGAAACAGGUGCUAAUACCGUAUAACAACAAAAUCCGCAUGGAUUUUGUUUGAAAGGUGGCUUCGGCUAUCACUUCUGGAUGAUCCCGCGGCGUAUUAGUUAGUUGGUGAGGUAAAGGCCCACCAAGACGAUGAUACGUAGCCGACCUGAGAGGGUAAUCGGCCACAUUGGGACUGAGACACGGCCCAAACUCCUACGGGAGGCAGCAGUAGGGAAUCUUCCACAAUGGACGAAAGUCUGAUGGAGCAAUGCCGCAAGAGUGAAAAAAGGAUUCGGCCCGCAAAACUCUGUGGUUUAAGAAGAACACCGUUGAGAGUACCUGUACCAGGGUUGACAGUAUUUAACCAGAAAGCCACGGCUAACUACGGGCCAGAAGACGCGGUAAUACGUAGGUCGCAAGCGUUGUCCGGAUUUAUUAGGCGUAAAGCGAGCGCAACCCGUUAUUUAAGUCAGAUGUGAAAGCAUUCAGCUUAACCGGAGAACUGCAUCGGAAACCGGGAGAAUUGAGUGCAGAAGAGGACAGUCAAACUCCAUGUGUAGCGGUGGAAUGCGUAGAUAUAUGGAAGAACACCAGUGGCGAAGGCGGCUGUCUAGUCUGUAACUGACGCUGAGGCUCGAAAGCAUGGGUAGCGAACAGGAUUAGAUACCCUGGUAGUCCAUGCCGUAAACGAUGAGUGCUAAGUGUUGGAGGGUUUCCGCCCUUCAGUGCUGCAGCUAACGCAUUAAGCACUCCGCCUG